This is a long non-coding RNA of Chinchilla lanigera (long-tailed chinchilla), 582 nucleotides long. RefSeq lists it as uncharacterized. The transcript is spliced from 4 exons. The record is from RefSeq and is a predicted model, not a curated record. NCBI's taxonomy places the organism in Eukaryota, Metazoa, Chordata, Mammalia, Rodentia, Chinchillidae.
GCCUCGCAGCAACAGCAAAAUUCCGUGUGUGUGGACAGAGGAGGGUCAAGGAAGAUCAGACCUUCAAGGCGAGGGAUGGAAUAGGAUUUCCUGGUUGGCAAGCAGUGGUAUAGGGGGCAGGGCCCCAGGGGCAGAGGAAGGGGUCUAGCUCAGAAAGCGCGGAGAACCAGGCGCUGGGACAAUAUAAGGAGCGGAUAAAAGACGACGGAAAGCAGGCCUUGAGGUCCCACGUCAGACUUUGGGAACACAAACACCGCAAGAUUCUAACAGCACAAUUUGCGACUCUCUCCCCCAGAUAUCUUUUAUUGUGGAACUACGCUGGAAAUCUUAGAAGUGUUAUGGAGAUUAAUUACUAGUUCCAAAGAUGAUCUACUGAAUGGAGUUCCUUUCUGCUGUUUGUAUCGGCCAUGACCAGGAAAUGCAUAUAUAGACUUAGUGUGGCUACAAAGGCACCAGGAGCCCAGUGUCACAAGAAUGCCUACUUUCCACCCAUUUUCCUUGAGUAUGCGUCGAAGGAAGGACCACGGCAGGAGCAAUGAUUGCGCUGUGCCCAUGAUGUGUGGCUAAAAGUGUACUCUCAGC